This 258-nucleotide ribosomal RNA is filed under the name uncultured bacterium. RNAcentral describes it as "partial 16S ribosomal RNA". It matches the Rfam family "Bacterial small subunit ribosomal RNA", at positions 96 to 354 of the family's 1533-position model. The record is from RNAcentral.
UGGCGGACGGGUGAGUAACGCGUGGGCAACCUGCCCUUAUCUGGGGGAUAACAGUUGGAAACGACUGAUAAUACCGCAUAAUAUGGUUUGAAGGCAUCUUCUUUCCAUCAAAGAUUUAUCGGAUAAGGAUGGGCCCGCGUCCGAUUAGCUUGUUGGUGAGGUAACGGCUCACCAAGGCGACGAUCAGUAGCCGACCUGAGAGGGUGAUCGGCCACAUUGGAACUGAGACACGGUCCAAACUCCUACGGAAGGCAGCAG